GCGGAAGUGGCGCGAGGUGUCGGGCCUGUGGAGACCUUCGGGGAAGGUGGCGGCCGAGGUGGCGGUCGAGAGAGCAGGACCGGAGACAGGUGGAUGCGGAGGAGGCCCAGCCAGCAGAGGCAAGACAGGGCCCAGCAGUGGAGAAGAGCAGAGACAAGGUUGCAGGCCUUGAAUGCGGCAAAGCAGAAACAAUGGACCUCAAGUUCAACAACUCCAGGAAGUAUGUCUCCAUCACCGUGCCCUCCAAAACCCAGACAAUGUCGCCGCACAUCAAGUCGGUUGAGGACGUCGUGGUGCUGGGUGUGAACCUCAGCAGGUUUAAGAAGCUCACACAGUUUCUCAUAUGUGUGGCUGGAGUUUUUGUAUUUUACCUAAUUUAUGGAUACUUACAGGAGUUGAUAUUUUCAAUGGAAGGCUUUAAGCCUUACGGCUGGUACCUUACUUUAGUACAGUUUGCAUUUUACUCUGUAUUUGGCCUAAUAGAACUCCAGCUCACUCAGGACAAAAGGAGAAGAAUACCAGGAAAAACCUACAUGAUAAUAGCUUUUCUAACUGUGGGUACUAUGGGCUUAUCAAACACUUCCUUGGGCUACCUGAAUUACCCCACCCAAGUCAUCUUCAAGUGCUGCAAACUGAUUCCUGUUAUGCUAGGAGGAGUUUUUAUUCAAGGAAAGAGGUACAACCUUGCAGACGUGUCCGCUGCAGUGUGCAUGAGCCUUGGCCUGAUCUGGUUUACCCUUGCUGACAGCACAAUUGCACCAAACUUUAAUCUGACAGGUGUGAUGCUUAUCUCCCUGGCACUGUGUGCAGAUGCUGUCAUUGGGAACGUUCAGGAGAAAGCUAUGAAACUGCACAAUGCUUCCAACUCCGAGAUGGUUUUGUAUUCGUACUCAAUCGGUUUUGUGUACAUUUUGUUGGGAUUGUCAUGCACCAGUGGACUGGGCCCUGCAGUGGCAUUUUGUUCAAAGAACCCUGUUCGGACUUACGGCUAUGCCUUCCUGUUUUCCCUCACUGGUUACUUUGGAAUCUCCUUUGUUCUGGCCCUCAUUAAAAUCUUUGGUGCUCUUCUGGCUGUAACAGCAGUGAUGAGGAUGUCAUUGUCCACCCUGUAGAGGACUGAAGGUUGCCUUUGAUGUAUUUGGAGAGAUGGGGAGCAGAGUGGGAGGAACCAGUGACUGCUGCAUCGUUUCCCAGAGCUGUAGAUGCACACCGGCUUCCAUGAUAGAGGCAGAAAGGUUUUACUGUCUAAUAAAAGGCAGAGGAAGGAAUAGCUAACACAGAGCCCUUCCUGUGUGCUAGACACCAUUUUGGGUGAGUCCUAACCAGCUGGCACCAUAUGCACAGAUAACGUGAGUAUGGAGAGGUAAAGCAGCUCACGUGACAGCCUGCUGGAGUCGGGGUUCAGGCAGCACCCCGGCUCCAUGCCUGCUGUCUUCACCGUGCUCCCUUGGUUAGGCCUCACUACCCUCCCUACCAUCACAGCUUCCUGCCAGGCGGCUGCACAGAGUCUGAGAAUUUACAAGACAUACAGUCCUCCCUCUGUGGAAACUUUCUAGGAUGCUGCACUCCUCAAAAAAACACAGCUACCCAUAUUUUCCUGGCCACAGCCUAAGUCACAUGACCACACCUAAGUAUAGGGAAGACUUCUGACAUGUGUGCCCAGAGCAAGUUCUUCAGUCACUCACGCUUGAAUGUCAAGUGUAAGGAGCAGGAAGGAAUCUGUGAGACAAGGUGUGGGACUGAGAAAAGCAGUGGGAGGGUAGAGCGCUAGCAUGGAGAGCUGUGUGCUCCUCUUCUGCUUGCACUGAAUUGGACAGUCUCAGGCCUUACGGCAGAGGUUGAUGGGUAAUACCCAGAGUGGGAAGAAGUGUUAAUACAAAUGUAUAAAGAGCAGGACUGUCACAACUACUGUCCUAUCCACAGAGGUCACCAUGCCUAAAUCCUGUAAGCCAUUGUAGUGAGCAUGCCUGGAAUCUCAAUGGGAUGGAGGCCAGAGCAGGAUGAGCAAAACAUGGCAAGACCUGUCUCAGAAACACACAGAAUAUCUGGGUACUAAUGAACCUUCCACUAUUUUGAAAGGAUAACUGUAGGCAUAAAUUUUUUGUAGCCUAAUUUAAAUAAGGGUUCAACCUCUUCUCUAGCCCACCGCCCAGCAGAGGUAAUAGAAGGGAAAAUUAUUAGGAUAUGGGGGAAGUGGACCUGGUCAGCCAUAGUUCUUUGGGGACAAGCUCCGUCUUUUUGGGCAGCAGUUCAGUCCUGUAGCAAACACCAGUUGAGAUUCAGCAGCUGCAGACCAGUCCUCUAGGUAGGCAGACCCCAAGCAGCUGAAGAAUCCUGAAGAAAGCACUAGGCUUGCCCACCUGCCUGAGGUGAGACCACAGAAACGGCAAGCUGCUUUAGGAAGCUUACAAGCAGUUCUUGGGCGAGUUUCUCUCAGUGGCAGCAUUACCACAAGCUGAGCUCAACAACACUAUGUAAGGCGAACCAAUACAUGCUUGUCGUUAGUGAAGCAGAGAAACCAAACCAAGGCUCAGUGCUUGUCCCCCACUGUGGGGUCAUAGUCAUACUCCUUCAUCAAGUGUCCUUUACUGUGUCUGCUGUAUCCACACAUCCUUUCACCUGGUCUGCCUCAGGAAAACAGACUUUGGAGUGUUUGCUUUAGCAAGACAUCCUUUCACCUGUGUGCCCCAGGAAAAUACCAUUUGAUGUAACCAACUUUCCAAAGAACUGGAAGUUCCCACUUCAGAUAACCCUUGCUCUACCCAGUAAUUUCUUAUACUGGAAAGCCUGUGCUGAGGCAGCUGAUGAACACUUACUACAGUUGUACGCAGACAUUUGAUGGAUCAACGCCAGUUCUCCAAACCUUUACUUCUAUGGCAGCAUGAAUUUGGUUGGUUGGUUGUAUUGUUUCUGGUAUCUUGUCAUAUACAGAGCUAUAAAUAUUUGUAGACAAAUGAUUUCCAGAUAUUACCGCAGCAGUAAGAUACAUCUAACUCUUUUCCCUGCAGUGACAACAGGACGAAAAGCAAUGACCAUCGUCCUGUCCUUUCUGUUCUUUGCUAAGCCAUUCACAUUUCAGUAUAUAUGGUCUGGCUUGCUAGUUGUCCUUGGCAUAUUUCUGAAUGUUUACA
This is an RNA transcript of Rattus rattus (black rat), 3131 nucleotides long. It is a transcript of the gene named solute carrier family 35 member B3, with no coding region annotated. The record is from RefSeq and is a predicted model, not a curated record. The transcript has 10 exons. NCBI's taxonomy places the organism in Eukaryota, Metazoa, Chordata, Mammalia, Rodentia, Muridae.